CCUGGUUGAUCCUGCCAGUAGUCAUAUGCUUGUCUCAAAGAUUAAGCCAUGCAUGUCUAAGUGCAUGCCAAAUGUUGUUUGAAACACAAAUGUCUCAUUAAAUCAGGUUAUGGUUCCUUAGAUCGUACCCACAUUUACUUGGAUAACUGUGGUAAUUCUAGAGCUAAUACAUGCAAACCAGAGUUCCGACCAGAGAUGGAAGGAACGCUUUUAUUAGAUCAAAACCAAUCGGUGGCGGGCUUUGCUCGUCCACCGUUUACUUUGGUGACUCUGAAUAACUUUGUGCUGAUCGCACGGUCUCGUACCGGCGACGCAUCUUUCAAAUGUCUGCCUUAUCAACUGUCGAUGGUAGGUUCUGCGCCUACCAUGGUUGUAACGGGUAACGGGGAAUCAGGGUUCGAUUCCGGAGAGGGAGCCUGAGAAACGGCUACCACAUCCAAGGAAGGCAGCAGGCGCGCAAAUUACCCACUCCCGGCACGGGGAGGGAGUGACGAAAAAUAACGAUACGGGACUCAUCCGAGGCCCCGUAAUCGGAAUGAGUACACUUUAAAUCCUUUAACGAGGAUCAAUUGGAGGGCAAGUCUGGUGCCAGCAGCCGCGGUAAUUCCAGCUCCAAUAGCGUAUAUUAAAGUUGUUGCGGUUAAAAAGCUCGUAGUUGAAUCUGUGUCGCACGCUGUCGGUUCGCCGCUCGCGGUGUUUAACUGACAUGCUCGUGAGACGUCCUACCGGUGGGCUUAGCUCCUUCGGGGGCGGUCCAACUAAUAUCCCAUCGCGGUGCUCNNNNNNNNNNNNNNNNNNNNCUGGUUGAUCCUGCCAGUAGUCAUAUGCUUGUCUCAAAGAUUAAGCCAUGCAUGUCUAAGUGCAUGCCAAAUUAAGGUGAAACCGCGAAUGGCUCAUUAAAUCAGUUAUGGUUCCUUAGAUCGUACCCACAUUUACUUGGAUAACUGUGGUAAUUCUAGAGCUAAUACAUACAAACCAGAGUUCCGACUAUAGAGAUGGAAGGAACGCUUUUAUUAGGUCUUCUCUUAGUCAAAGUUUCUUUUCAUCAUUUUGUGUCGACUCGUCUUCGUUGACGCCGUUUACGCCCUUUAAGUAUUUCUUAUAAAAUGACUUGUGAAUACCGACGGUCGGUACUGUUGAGUCCCAACUGAUCAGUGGUGCCAUCUAGCUCCAACUGAUUACAACUUAUUCUAACAAGUCCCAGAAGCUGUGCCAUUUGUCUCCAUUUGCUUCCUAACCUCUUCGUUUUCUACAAUUACUUCUCUUAUCUUCGAAAAAAAACUAAGUAAUCCUCUCACUGAAACUUCUGCAAACACUUUCAUACCGUAAGUAGGCUCCACUUUUUCGAUUUGCAAUUAAACUUUAGCUUGUACGAUUUAAUAAUCUACCAAUUUUUCGAAAAAGAACCGAAUAAUGCCGAAUACACAAAGGACUAUAAAAAAUCAGUUCUGAAUACAAAAAAUUGCGAUUUAAAAUCUA
RNAcentral lists this ribosomal RNA (1479 nucleotides) under Leptopilina clavipes. Its description in RNAcentral is "bacterial SSU rRNA". The stretch from base 1 to 1051 matches the Rfam family "Eukaryotic small subunit ribosomal RNA". The record is from RNAcentral. Lineage: Eukaryota; Metazoa; Arthropoda; Insecta; Hymenoptera; Figitidae.